This 492-nucleotide ribosomal RNA is filed under the name uncultured bacterium. Its description in RNAcentral is "partial 16S ribosomal RNA". It matches the Rfam family "Bacterial small subunit ribosomal RNA", at positions 29 to 507 of the family's 1533-position model. The record is from RNAcentral.
AGUGAACGCUGGCGGUAGGCCUAACACAUGCAAGUCGAACGGCAGCACAGUAAGAGCUUGCUCUUACGGGUGGCGAGUGGCGGACGGGUGAGGAAUACAUCGGAAUCUACUUUUUCGUGGGGGAUAACGUAGGGAAACUUACGCUAAUACCGCAUACGACCUACGGGUGAAAGCAGGGGAUCUUCGGACCUUGCGCGAUUGAAUGAGCCGAUGUCGGAUUAGCUAGUUGGCGGGGUAAAGGCCCACCAAGGCGACGAUGCGUAGCUGGUCUGAGAGGAUGAUCAGACAGACUGGAAGUGAGACACGGCCCAGACUCUUACGGGAGGCAGCAGUGGGGAAUAUUAGACAAUGGGCGCAAGCCUGAUCCAGCAAUACCGCGUGGGUGAAGAAGGACUUCGGGUUGUAAAGCCCUGUUGUUGGGAAAGAAAAGCAGCAGGUUAAUCCGCCGCGGUACUGACGGUACCGAAAGAAUAAGCACCGGCUAACUUCGUG